CAUAGUGUCCGGGAGGGAGGGUGAGAACCCUCGCAGGGUUCGACAAAACGGAGUUUUGGAUGGCCGCAGGCCACCCGCAGGGCGUGCUGCAACGCAGCGCGUCAAUCCCUCCCUCACCGCCA
Molecule: small RNA, 122 nt
Filed under: Tatumella citrea
Lineage: Bacteria; Pseudomonadati; Pseudomonadota; Gammaproteobacteria; Enterobacterales; Erwiniaceae
Description: RtT sRNA
Rfam family: RtT RNA
About the family: This family represents a bacterial cis-regulatory element known as RtT RNA. The exact function of RtT is unknown although it is thought that it may be involved in changing the cellular response in relation to amino acid starvation.
Source: RNAcentral